CGCCCAAUAGGCUCUGCCCAGUACCCAAUCCUGUCCCUGCCGGAGGGGCAACGCGUGGCUAGGGCCGGGGGCUGUAGGCUGGGAACUGCCUGGCCCUGCUAAGCUGCCCGCGUUCGCAGACAUAGGCACUGCCAGAAGCUAAUCAUCAAGAGCAUCGGUUCCUAAUGAUGACCUUUGAAGAUUCUGAAUAUUGUCGAAUGGGGAUGAGUGGCAAUCCUUUUACCCAGUCAUGGCAUGGUGGUACAGAAGUGGGACUGUCUCACAAACUGUUGUAAAACAGCAACUCACCUAAAGUUUAGAAAUACUCUGAUUCCAAGGUGUUUCUUAACCAGAUAAUGUGAGUGAGUUUUGAACAUAUUCCUCUUCUCUCCAAUGUCAAGUAAGUGCUGUUUGAGGCACUGGAUGGAGAUCAGGUGGGCAUAUUCCACAUCUUUCCAUUUAGAAGAGAAGGAGCUGCUGACAGGAUAUUCUGCAGAAGGCUGCUCGACUUUGGAGUUUGCUUAUGUCUUACAGGAGAUGCGUGAUGGCAGGCAUUAGAGGCACUGGAUCCUUUCUGUCUGUAUUCAUAGUAUGUGGUUUAGCAAGCAGACAAUCCGUUCAUCAGAAAGUUGGUUGGCAUAUGGAGCUCUGCUAGAAGCCAAAAGGGUCGGUACGUGCCAUACUGAAGCCCCCCUCCUACUCAGCUCUAUUCUGCAGGACCAAACAAGCAUGGAGGUGUAAAAGCAAUUAUUAUUAGCAGUUACUCCAACCAAGAACACAGUAUUAAUGACAGAUCCUUUCAGUCAUAGACAUGCUAACUCAGGACAAACAUUUGUUUGGACAUUUACGCUCUCAGCGAUCACAUUUUAUGCUCAUAGAUAAUUGCUUGAAUGCUUACUCUUCUACCCACCGGUUCCUAUUGUGUGUGGCCAGGUGAAACAGUUUCACUGGAGUAGAGAUGUCAAGUUAGUAGGGUCAUUUUAGAAGUCUGCAUAAUGUGUCUGGUAUAAGGAAGGAAUUGGUUAGCACAGACGACCAGGAUCCAGGACCUCUGGGUUCUAAUCUCAGCUCUGCUACUGAUUUAACUUUUCUGUACCUCACUUUAUCAGUCUGUAAACCUGUGUAUAAUACUUGCCUACUGUGAUGCUUCCCAGGGGUACCUAAGGCUAUGAGGCACCUUGCUACCCCUGCCCUUAGCACAAGGAAGCCUUGUCCUGUGUCUGCCAUGGGUCAGCUCCACAACUCCACUGUCCACAGGCAACACAAGCACUUCCCUCUAGGUCUCGCAGGCCCUGCUAUCACUCCACAGGUUAGUGAUGGGCACAUUCCAACCCUCAAGCCCUCUGAACGUCUGGAGUGUCCAGCCCCUGGUCCACUGGAUGCUCACAGUAUUCACAGAUUCACUUCUUCCAAUGAAACAAUACACCUCAGCUUACCACUUGCACCUCAGAUCACUGCUCUGCUUUACACACAGCACUUAGAUCUAUUUAUGGUGAAAUCAAGCCUCAGUUUAUUUAACAGAGCAUAGAGAAUCAAGUGUAGCAAGUAGAAGUAUGCAUUCUGGAGCCUAUACUUAAUUAAUCAGAUACUCUCAUGGCUUGUAGAAUGUUGCUCACCCAAAAUUCUUGCAGCGCUUUUCAGUCAGGCUGGCUGUGAUUCUCCUUUCCUGAGACAAACUCGCUGUCGGUUUGCCUUCUAAGUGAAGAAUUCAUUGUGUCUUACUGCACUCCAAGAAACAGCAGACAUGUCCUUUGUCUUUAUUCAUAUACAGGACACCCCCUUGUUGUUUGUUUGUUCCUGUAGAUUUCUUCUUGUAGAUUUCACAUUCACUCAGUCCACACCUGGCUGCAUAUACAAAUAGGCAUGUAGUGUGAGGCACACAGUACACAAAUGGCCAGACAGGGAGAUGGGUGUCAGUUACCUUCUGCCUGAAAGGAACAUUUCAGAGGUAUGUCACCUCCUGGUGACCUGCCUUAACUCCAAGACCUUAAGACCAUAAUUUUCAAUAUAGAUACAUUACUUCUUAAAUAUUAUCUAUGCAUACAUUUCAUAAUGAUUAUGAUGACCAACGGGAUCUUGGCUCUUGGUAGAGACGUGGCAUGCCCCCUUUUGGUGAAUUAUUGUGCAAAUAUCCAACCCAUGGAAUCCUUGUAAAACCCUAUGCACCUUCUGUGUCCUCUGCCAAAUUAAUUUGGCAUCAAGUGGUCAUUGGGUCACACCUACUUUACAGAGAGGUUGUGAACCUUAAGUGAUGUUUGUAAAUUUCUGUGAGCUCUUUGGAUGAAAGACACUACAGAAGUGUAUAUUAUUAUUAUGAUUUAAUAUUAGUUUAUUAUUGUUACCAUUUUAUAAUGCCUCAUCUUUGCAGCAGCAGUUGUAUUGGAUUCCCAGGCCAUAUUGAUGAUAAAUUUUACUUUCUACAAUUGACCACCUCUUGAUGCUUAAUAUUUUUAUUUAUAUAUUUAUUUCAGUUUCUAACAAAGCCAUGCAGUGCCUUUCCAAUAGUUUAUUGGAAUGUGCAUGUACAUCAAAUAAAAUAUAUCACAUACACAUUUUCAGAACAUUAAUAUAAAAGUCCAACCCAUAACAAAAUCAAGCCAUUCAGCUAAACCAAUGGAAUAAACAAAUCCCACUUUCUGCUUCAAAGCUGAUUUCUUCACCUGUCCUCACCCACCUUGAAUGUGGGGGGAAAAGAGAGACUUUGAAGCCUACUUUUAUGGAAUGCCCAGGGCAUAUAAGGCUGCUUUGCAUUGUCAAUGUGAUGGCCAGGAUCUGUAAAACCAGUGUGGGUCACGUCAGACUCAGGCACCAGUCUUGGUUUCCUGCUCUGUUCUUCCUCCAUGAGACAUAGAUCAUGCUUAAAUGUGCAUUGCAUGCUUUUAUGGCUGUCAUCGUCCUUUUUCUGCAUUUUCCCAUCCUCUUUCUGCCAUUCUUCCUCUAUUUCUUCAAAGCCUGUCCCAAAGACUGCCAGUUUUUCUCUCUCAAAUUCUCUUUUCCAAACUGCCACCUUCUUCUAGAACUUCCCCUGUGUUCCUAAAGCAUCACUCACUGUUUGCUACUGUUUUCUAGGACCACCUUCCCAGUUCCUGUUAACUUGUUCUGACACUGAUUAACUGCUAAGGGUGUAAUCAGCUCAUAGAAGUUAUAGAUAUGGGUAAUGGUCAGGUAGAUUAACGACCAUGAAUAAUAUCAGUUGUUAGCUAUGGUUAAUGAAAUGUCAACAAUGUUGGACCAUCUCACAAGACAUUAAAUCAUUGGAUAAAUAAUUUAAAUUAGACAAUUUUUCACAUUGUUGAGGAUUGCAGAUUUAUACACAGCAAAGUGAUAUCUGUUUAGAAAGCUGAGCUUUUUUAGCAAUAUUACUGUCAAUGAAUUUGUAAGGCAACACAACUUUUUAAAAAUAGCAACCACCAGUCGAAUGGAUUACUAUGAACACUAGCCAACUAUGCUUCAGAUUAGGAGAUCAAGACUAAAAAGCGAGAGAGCCAACAACAUUUCCAUAAUAUUUGCUGUCUCUCCAGUAGCAGCUUACAGAGAAGAAGAACAGCUCUUUGUAGCUGGAAAGCUUGUCUCGCUCACCAACAGAAGUUGGUCCAAUAAAAGAUAUUACCUCACCCAAUCUGUGUAUCAGAAUAAAAGAAAGUCAGUUAUCUGGCUGCUGAAUCUUGCCCAUAUGCUCAGGGUUUAGCUGAUCGCCAUAUUUGGGGUCGGGAAGGAGUUUUCCUCCAGAGCACAUUGGCAGAGGCCCUGGAGGUUUUUCGCCUUCCUCUGUAGCAUGGGGCACAGGUCACUUGCUGGAGGAUUCUCUGCUCCUUGAAGUCUUUAAAUCAUGAUUUGAGGACUUCAGUAGCUCAGACAUAGGUGAGAGGUUUUUCGCAGGAGUGGGUGGGUGAGAUUCUGUGGCCUGCGUUGUGCAGGAGGUCAGACUAGAUGAUCAUAAUGGUCCCUUCUGACCUUAAUAUCUAUGAAUCUAUGAAUCAGUUAUUUUUAGGAAAAUGUACAUCGCACUGGAAACAUAGAGAAAAUUAACCAGGGGACAUAUUUAUCCCUGAUCUAACUGCACUGAAAUCAAAAGUGAAAAGUGAAUCUAACUGCACUGAAAUCAAUCAAAAUGAAUUUGGUUCAUAAAUCAGACUUCAGACAGAUUUUACAUAUAUAUCAAGAUUCCCACACGCCUCUUCCACUGCCUCACUGAUAUACAUCCUGCAUAUCAUUAGCCACAUCAUUCACACUUUGUUAUGCUCAUCAUUUGUUGUGACCUCUGAAUUAAAGGCACAACUAACUUCUAUAUAAAACACAUCAAUAGUGAGAGCUAUGUUGACAGCUUGUUACUGAACAGCCUACAGCAGGAGUUGUGAUUUAGAGGAGGAAGGUGUGUGCAGCUGGAUGGUCCUUAGUGCAUGAGUUAAGAGAGAGAAUGGGUCCCAUUGUGAUCUCAGAUAAGCUUGGAUCCAUUGAUUUCACUGGAGAAAGUCAGAUCAAAAUCAGGCGUAGUAUCUCUGAUUACAUCAGAGAACAGUGUUCGACUCCUGUGAUAUACAAUAAGGCAAUUGAAGUCCUGCCCCACCUUCUGCACUGUGACUGUCCAGGGAAGUGCAUGCUCCUUUGAAAGUAUUUAGCCAUUGCUGCACCUGCCUCAUAGAUCCUGCAGGUGUUCUGCUUGCAGGAAGAAGGUCUCCAGCCAUAACAGCGGGUGUGGUGUCUGUCCACCAGUGCUGCAGCGGUGCUGACACAAUUUGAUGCUUAAGCUUUACGAGAACAUUUGGGAAAACUGGAACACUGAAGAAGCCUGAUUUUUCUACACAGUGCACAUUUGCUGCCCCUGCUGUUGUCUGAGCAGUAUUAUUGUGACAUCAGAGAUAAUCAGCCACUCCGCACUCACUCCCAUCACUUCAUUUGCCCACUUGGGGAGAGUCACUAUUGGCCUGGUUGCCCUGGCAAUGGCAGCCUUUGAUAAUUGAUUUACCUCUGACUUCCGAGAACAUGAUUACAGGAGGGAUUAUAAGGAAAGCAGGCUGAGUUUGGCUAAGCGCCUGCUGUGCUCCUCUGGGUUUGUACUGGGUGUCCAUUAAAGCUGCAAGAACCAGCGUGUGACCCCCACGCCCCAAAAAACACUCACUCUCGCUCUCUGUCUGCCACAACUCCUACCAUCCUGGGGGAGAAACCUGCAGGUUUCAGAAGUCAGCCAUGGACACAGGAAGAAAGGAAAGAACUUCAGCGGGAGUUUACCUGAGUGAAGAGUCAAGCCUGGACUCUCUGCAUGCUGUUUCUGUACUAGUUUAAUGAAGUAUGGGAAUUGAUAGAACGUGUUAGAAACUUCAGACGUCUUACUUCUUCCUGCCGCCCCAUCCAGGUCUCUUCCCACCUUUUCCAAGUCAUUAUCCAAGAAUCAUCAGAGAAAGCCCAAGCAUCCCUUUUGCUCCCACUUUUGCUUCAGUGUGUGGGGGAACAGCACCACUGCACAAGAUUCAUGCAUUCCCCUUGGAUGAGUCUGAUUUAUCCAUUGAAUCUGUGAUCAGUCAGAAAUCCACAGCUCCUGAUAUGGUGUGGAACUGAUGAUCAUUUUUCUAUUCUUCACACUACUGGAAAAUUUGAUUUGGGCAACCUUGCAUUACAGAGACGCAUGCUCUCCAUGGGGCGGAGUGGAAUACUAGGCAGUCAUGACAGUACCAGCCAUCGUCUCCAGAGACCUUUAAUCCCUGACAAAUCUUUUCUUCUUGAAAGAACCUGUGGGUGGUCUCCCUUUUUUCUAAUUUCAGUAAAUUUGGUACAUCACUUUCUAGUUAUGCAGCUGAUGCUCAUGUUUGUAUGAAUAGCUAUUAAAAAAGGGAAAGAUCAGAUGUUUGUUGUUUCAUUUCCAACAUAAAUCAAACUUUGUAUUCACAUUUCAAAUCUAGUUUAGCCCCAGGAAUAGCUUUAGUAUUGCUAAGUGUCUGGAGACUAUUGACUACAGAGACAUGUUUUUAAGCAGGCUAUAAUAGUUUCUACAGCUGUUAACAGUUCAUAGAAGAAUGGCAGCAUUAUUCAUCAGUGUUUAAAAUGUGCAUGACUUGCAUUGCACAGAAGUCAGAUUUGGAGAAUGUCAGAAUUUUUUUCUGAAACUCUGCCAGGAAAGUCUUCAAUAACUAGAGAAAUUCUUUUCACUGGUGAAAUCAACAUGCAGCACAUUGUGUUGUUAUAAUUGUUUAGAGCUCACCAUGAAAGUUGUCUUUGUAUGUGUGGAUGUACGGCUAGUACUGUUUUGUUUUUAUUUAUUCUGCAUUCUUUAUUUUAAUGUUCUUUCCUUUUUUCCAGACCAGAAAGAUUGUUAUUGAGCUCUUCACAGAGCUGAAAUAAUGCUGUGUGUUAAAAAAUGUUAACAAUUUUAAGAAGUUAUAAAAAUUUAUAAGUUGGCUGAGUA
Molecule: long non-coding RNA, 6379 nt
Organism: Chelonia mydas (Green sea turtle)
Lineage: Eukaryota; Metazoa; Chordata; Testudines; Cheloniidae
Exons: 7
Source: RefSeq, a predicted model, not a curated record